RNAcentral lists this ribosomal RNA (492 nucleotides) under uncultured bacterium. Its description in RNAcentral is "partial 16S ribosomal RNA". It matches the Rfam family "Bacterial small subunit ribosomal RNA", at positions 30 to 507 of the family's 1533-position model. The record is from RNAcentral.
AUUGAACGCUGGCGGCAUGCCUAACACAUGCAAGUCGAACGGCAGCACAGUAAGAGCUGGCGCCUACGGGCGGAGAGUGGCGGACGGGUGCGGAAUACAUCGGAACCUACUUUUUCGCGGGGGAUAACGGAGGGUAAUUUAGCCUACUACCGCAUAAGGCCAACGGGGGAAAGCAAGGGAUCGUGCGAUCUUGCGGGACGGUAUCAGCCGAUGUAGGAUUCGCUAGUUGGCGGGGUAAAGGCACACCAAGGCGACGAUCCGUAGCUGGUCUGAGAGGAUGACCAGCCACACUGGAACUGAGACACGGUCCAGACUCCUACGGGAGGCAGCAGUGGGGAAUAUUGGACAAUGGGCGCAAGCCUGAUCCAGCAAUACCGCGUGGAUGAAGAAGGCCUUCGGGUUGUAAAGUGCUUUUGUUGGGAAAGAAAAGCAGCUGGUUAAUACCCCGCUGUAAUGACGGUACCGAAAGAAUAAGCACCGGCUAACUUCGUG